This 116-nucleotide ribozyme is filed under the name Aedes aegypti (yellow fever mosquito). RNAcentral's name for it is "drz-agam-1 ribozyme". It matches the Rfam family "drz-agam-1 ribozyme". Lineage: Eukaryota; Metazoa; Arthropoda; Insecta; Diptera; Culicidae. The record is from Rfam by way of RNAcentral.
UGCCCAGCAACUCCUAUCCCUAUCUCCUCGCGGUACUGCCCGGGUACGAGUAACCUUAGGGAAGAUCGGGUAACCAACCCCCGGUGGGAACUUUGGUCGUAUGCUGACAGGGAAGG